AUGAGUGGUCCCCGUGAGCCCGGCGCAGCAUCGUGCGGGGAGGCAGCGGGGCGGCGGGUGCCCGGCUCCCGGACCAGGCGCUGCACCUCGCUUGGCCCCUCAAAAUGCCAUCAGGCAGCAGCGGGAGGGAAGGCGGGGUGCUCAGGAGGGCUGGCAGGAAAAGGUGGGUCUCCUCCGAGCAUCAGGAAACGGCCGGGGAGGAGACCAGACACCGGGGAGCCAGCGGCGCCACGAGGAAGGGGUCAGGGGAGCAGGGACGUGCACUCAGCAUCACCCUCGGCCAAGGCAGUGCUCGGUCUGCAGCUCUGUGCUCUACAGCCACGGGAAGGGGGCUAUUCUGCUUUAGGUUUCCUCCCUGGUACCUGCAGUGACACGUGGGUGUCCCUCCGGCCACGAGGGGACAUCUCCAGAGCGCAAGGUCAGCCUGCUGCUGCCUGCCAGCAUCGGCCCUGUGCUGAUGUUGGAAAAACAGGAAAAAAACAGGAGCAUUGGAAGAAAAGCCUCGCACAAAUACACAGCUCCAGGGCAGAGGGCGGCCGCCCUGGUCCCAAGGGAGCAAGGCAGGACAAGUGUCCGCUCCGGGCGUGCACGGCCCCAGGGAAAGGCAGGACAGUCCCCGAGAGCCCCGCGCCCAGGGGUGCCAGCAGGAGCCCUGCUGCUGCCGCGGCCCGGCUUUACGUAAUUCGCUUUCCACAAACACAAGGAACCGCUCGGAGGAAUUUGUGCAGAGCAGCAUGGAAGGAAAACAGCCCCGCUCUUGAACUUUGCAGGAUAAUGUUCCAUUCAGAGCCGCUCGCUGUCUGGGUCGCCCCCGCGUUAACCCUGGAGGACGUGGGCUGGGCCAAGCGCCAGCACGAGAAGGGGCUUAGAUCACGGGCAGGCGAGGGACGUCCUCCUCCCAACAUUUUGAUCUUGCUCCUUUUAAAGCAUCUAAAAGAAGAGCUGCCCCUGCUCUCCCCAUCCCGCUCCCCGACCCUGUCUUUGCUUCUCUGUCAAGCAAAAGGACUGGCAAAAGGAUUUAAGCAGGGAGAAGCGAGGUCCAUCUCCCCCUGUUCUCACGCACCCAUUGCACCCGGAUAA
Molecule: long non-coding RNA, 1080 nt
Filed under: Anser cygnoides (Swan goose)
Lineage: Eukaryota; Metazoa; Chordata; Aves; Anseriformes; Anatidae
Description: lncRNA (ENSACDG00005017321.1)
Source: RNAcentral